Molecule: transfer RNA, 74 nt
Organism: Plasmodium gonderi
Lineage: Eukaryota; Apicomplexa; Aconoidasida; Haemosporida; Plasmodiidae
Rfam family: tRNA
About the family: Transfer RNA (tRNA) molecules are approximately 80 nucleotides in length. Their secondary structure includes four short double-helical elements and three loops (D, anti-codon, and T loops).
Source: Rfam
AAUGAUAUAACUUAAUAAGGUUAAAGUAAAUAAUUGCAAAUUAUUAUAUUUCAGUUCAAUUCUGAAUAUCAUUU